Molecule: ribosomal RNA, 265 nt
Filed under: uncultured bacterium
Lineage: Bacteria
Description: partial 16S ribosomal RNA
Rfam family: Bacterial small subunit ribosomal RNA
Source: RNAcentral
UACGAAGGGGGCUAGCGUUGCUCGGAAUCACUGGGCGUAAAGCGCACGUAGGCGGACUCUUAAGUUGGGGGUGAAAGCCCAGGGCUCAACCCUGGAAUUGCCUUCAAUACUGGGAGUCUUGAGUAUGGCAGAGGUUGGUGGAACUGCGAGUGUAGAGGUGAAAUUCGUAGAUAUUCGCAAGAACACCAGUGGCGAAGGCGGCCAACUGGGCCAUUACUGACGCUGAGGUGCGAAAGCGUGGGGAGCAAACAGGAUUAGAAACCCC